This 433-nucleotide ribosomal RNA is filed under the name uncultured bacterium. RNAcentral describes it as "partial 16S ribosomal RNA". It matches the Rfam family "Bacterial small subunit ribosomal RNA", at positions 29 to 507 of the family's 1533-position model. The record is from RNAcentral.
AACGAACGCUGGCGGCAUGCCUAACACAUGCAAGUCGAACGAGACCUUCGGGUCUAUUGGCGCACGGGUGCGUAACGCGUGGGAACCUGCCCUUAGGUUCGGAAUACCUCCCCGAAAGGGGUGCUAAUACCGGAUAAUGUCUUCGGACCAAGGAUUUAUCGCCUUUGGUUGGGCCCGCGUUGGAUUAGCUAGUUGGUAGGGUAAUAGCCUACCAAGGCGACGAUCCAUAGCUGGUCUGAGAGGAUGAUCAGCCACACUGGGACUGAGGAACGGCCCAGACUCCUACGGAAGGGAGGAGAGGGGAAUAGUGGAAAAUGGGGGAAAGCCUGAUGGAGCAAUGACGCGUGAGUGAUGAAGGCAUUAGGGUUGUAAAGCGCUUUUAACCGGGAUGAUAAUGACAGUACCGGGAGAAUAAGCUCCGGCUAACUCCGUG